GGUGGCCUGUUUGAGGCCACAGCAGAAGCAUUCAUGGUGCAGCCUGCCGUAUUCCAGUGAAUCUGCAAGUUCUGCU
Molecule: ribozyme, 76 nt
Filed under: Crocodylus porosus (Australian saltwater crocodile)
Lineage: Eukaryota; Metazoa; Chordata; Crocodylia; Crocodylidae
Description: Mammalian CPEB3 ribozyme (ENSCPRG00005008364.1)
Rfam family: Mammalian CPEB3 ribozyme
About the family: The mammalian CPEB3 ribozyme is a self cleaving RNA located in the second intron of the CPEB3 gene which belongs to a family of genes regulating messenger RNA polyadenylation. This ribozyme is highly conserved and found only in mammals.
Source: Rfam by way of RNAcentral